UUUAAUUGAAGAGUUUGAUCAUGGCUCAGAUUGAACGCUGGCGGCAGGCCUAACACAUGCAAGUCGAGCGGC
Molecule: ribosomal RNA, 72 nt
Filed under: Vibrio cholerae
Lineage: Bacteria; Pseudomonadati; Pseudomonadota; Gammaproteobacteria; Vibrionales; Vibrionaceae
Also listed under: 1 other name
Description: partial 16S ribosomal RNA
Rfam family: Bacterial small subunit ribosomal RNA
Source: RNAcentral